GGCGGCAUGCCUAAUACAUGCAAGUCGAGCGGACUUGAUGAGAAGCUUGCUUCUCUGAUGGUUAGCGGCGGACGGGUGAGUAACACGUAGGCAACCUGCCCUCAAGUUUGGGACAACUACCGGAAACGGUAGCUAAUACCGAAUAGUUGUUUUCUUCGCCUGAAGGAAACUGGAAAGACGGAGCAAUCUGUCACUUGGGGAUGGGCCUGCGGCGCAUUAGCUAGUUGGUGGGGUAACGGCUCACCAAGGCGACGAUGCGUAGCCGACCUGAGAGGGUGAUCGGCCACACUGGGACUGAGACACGGCCCAGACUCCUACGGGAGGCAGCAGUAGGGAAUCUUCCGCAAUGGGCGAAAGCCUGACGGAGCAAUGCCGCGUGAGUGAUGAAGGUUUUCGGAUCGUAAAGCUCUGUUGCCAGGGAAGAACGCUUGGGAGAGUAACUGCUCUCAAGGUGACGGUACCU
This 463-nucleotide ribosomal RNA is filed under the name Paenibacillus amylolyticus. RNAcentral's name for it is "bacterial SSU rRNA". It matches the Rfam family "Bacterial small subunit ribosomal RNA", at positions 38 to 480 of the family's 1533-position model. The record is from RNAcentral. Lineage: Bacteria; Bacillati; Bacillota; Bacilli; Caryophanales; Paenibacillaceae.